CACACCUCGCAGGGGAUUGCAGCAUAUUGGCGCGUCCCAGGCAGCAGAUGAGAACUUCUGCCCUGAGCCAUGGGGAGCCCCUGGAGUGCUUUCAACAGAAAAGAGGCAGCUCCACAAUCUGCAUUUGAGAGACACAGCCUGGCAGCGCUGUGAAAGUCUCACCUUCCAGAAUGAGAAGAUCAAAAACUGUACCCUGCUCAGUGGCUUGGGAUCCCUGUUUCUUUGAGGGCGGAUUGUUAAACAACACGGAAUAUGCCAAACACAUGCAUCACAGAUCCCACGCAGAGCCGCGGAAGGGUGUGAACUGAAUGAGGCAGGUGAGCUCUCGGGAGCCCUCAUCUGCACUCAUGCAUGUCUCCCUAAUCAGCCCCAAAGAAGAGACACCACAGGCGGCCGCCAGCACCAGUGCCCAGCAUAGGUCCAAAUGGCUCUGCUGCUCCUGUAUCUGUGGGCUGUGCACUGCUCAAGCGAAACCUGAAAUAGAGGUCAACGUCCUGGGCUCCAUCUCCAUGCUUUAUUCAUUUGUCCACUCAAGUUUGAAAUAUAUUAUUGAAGUCUUACUUUUUUGCAUCCACUGUUUAUAGUACUUAAAAAAAAAAAAAAGAGUCCCUGCUCUUACAGAGCAUAUAUAUGGUCUAU
RNAcentral lists this long non-coding RNA (639 nucleotides) under Vulpes vulpes (red fox). Its description in RNAcentral is "lncRNA (ENSVVUG00000027563.1)". Lineage: Eukaryota; Metazoa; Chordata; Mammalia; Carnivora; Canidae. The record is from RNAcentral.